ACGGGUGAGUAAUGCCUAGGAAUCUGCCUGGUAGUGGGGGACAACGUCUCGAAAGGGACGCUAAUACCGCAUACGUCCUACGGGAGAAAGCAGGGGACCUUCGGGCCUUGCGCUAUCAGAUGAGCCUAGGUCGGAUUAGCUAGUUGGUGAGGUAAUGGCUCACCAAGGCGACGAUCCGUAACUGGUCUGAGAGGAUGAUCAGUCACACUGGAACUGAGACACGGUCCAGACUCCUACGGGAGGCAGCAGUGGGGAAUAUUGGACAAUGGGCGAAAGCCUGAUCCAGCCAUGCCGCGUGUGUGAAGAAGGUCUUCGGAUUGUAAAGCACCUUAAGUUGGGAGGAAGGGUUGUAGAUUAAUACUCUGCAAUUUUGACGUUACCGACAGAAUAAGCACCGGCUAACUCUGUGCCAGCAGCCGCGGUAAUACAGAGGGUGCAAGCGUUAAUCGGAAUUACUGGGCGUAAAGCGCGCGUAGGUGGUUUGUUAAGUUGGAUGUGAAAGCCCCGGGCUCAACCUGGGAACUGCAUUCAAAACUGACAAGCUAGAGUAUGGUAGAGGGUGGUGGAAUUUCCUGUGUAGCGGUG
This 585-nucleotide ribosomal RNA is filed under the name uncultured bacterium. RNAcentral's name for it is "bacterial SSU rRNA". It matches the Rfam family "Bacterial small subunit ribosomal RNA", at positions 102 to 683 of the family's 1533-position model. The record is from RNAcentral.